Molecule: ribosomal RNA, 484 nt
Filed under: uncultured bacterium
Lineage: Bacteria
Description: partial 16S ribosomal RNA
Rfam family: Bacterial small subunit ribosomal RNA
Source: RNAcentral
AUUGAACGCUGGCGGCAGGCCUAACACAUGCAAGUCGAGCGGAUGAAGGGAGCUUGCUCCUGGAUUCAGCGGCGGACGGGUGAGUGAUGCCUAGGAAUCUGCCUGGCAGUGGGGGAUAACGUCCGGAAACGGGCGCUAAUACCGCAUACGUCCUGAGGGAGCAAGUGGGGGAUCUUCGGACCUCACGCUAUCAGAUGAGCCUAGGUCGGAUUAGCUAGUUGGUGGGGUAAAGGCCUACCAAGCCGACGAUCCGUAACUGGUCUGAGAGGAUGAUCAGUCACACUGGAACUGAGACACGGUCCAGACUCCUACGAGAGGCAGCAGUGGGGAAUAUUGGACAAUGGGCGAAAGCCUGAUCCAGCCAUGCCGCGUGUGUGAAGAAGGUCUUCGGAUUGUAAAGCACUUUAAGUUGGGAGGAAGGGCAGUAAGUUAAUACCUUGCUGUUUUGACGUUACCAACAGAAUAAGCACCGGCUAACUUCGUG